RNAcentral lists this ribosomal RNA (497 nucleotides) under Bacillus subtilis. Its description in RNAcentral is "bacterial SSU rRNA". It matches the Rfam family "Bacterial small subunit ribosomal RNA", at positions 424 to 911 of the family's 1533-position model. The record is from RNAcentral. Lineage: Bacteria; Bacillati; Bacillota; Bacilli; Caryophanales; Bacillaceae.
CGUAAAGCUCUGUUGUUAGGGAAGAACAAGUACCGUUCGAAUAGGGCGGUACCUUGACGGUACCUAACCAGAAAGCCACGGCUAACUACGUGCCAGCAGCCGCGGUAAUACGUAGGUGGCAAGCGUUGUCCGGAAUUAUUGGGCGUAAAGGGCUCGCAGGCGGUUUCUUAAGUCUGAUGUGAAAGCCCCCGGCUCAACCGGGGAGGGUCAUUGGAAACUGGGGAACUUGAGUGCAGAAGAGGAGAGUGGAAUUCCACGUGUAGCGGUGAAAUGCGUAGAGAUGUGGAGGAACACCAGUGGCGAAGGCGACUCUCUGGUCUGUAACUGACGCUGAGGAGCGAAAGCGUGGGGAGCGAACAGGAUUAGAUACCCUGGUAGUCCACGCCGUAAACGAUGAGUGCUAAGUGUUAGGGGGUUUCCGCCCCUUAGUGCUGCAGCUAACGCAUUAAGCACUCCGCCUGGGGAGUACGGUCGCAAGACUGAAACUCAAAGGAAUU